AUGGUGUGUUUGUUAGUCAGAUAUGCCCAUCUGUAUUUUGGAGAUUUGCCUAGGGUUUUCGACCAUGAUUUGGGGGUUUUGGGUUUGGAGAAGGUGGCUGUUUGUAGGUUAUUUGGUGCUGUAGGGUGCUAUAUUUUGGUGCAUGUUGAAGAUGUUGGUUGUAUGGGUGAAUUACAUACUGAAAGUUGGUAUCUUGCAUCUAUUUCUUGCAGUUUAUGUGGAACAGAAAUUCUGAAACUCUGUUUUGCUCUGUUUUCAUGUAAGCAGACAAGCGCAGCAGGAAGUUUUCAGUGCAGUUUAACCAUGGUGGUUAUUUCCUUGGGCAAGGUACCAAUCGUUCAUAUGUCAAUGGUCAUCAACUGUGGUACGAUGAAGUAG
Molecule: ribosomal RNA, 378 nt
Filed under: Triticum aestivum (bread wheat)
Lineage: Eukaryota; Viridiplantae; Streptophyta; Magnoliopsida; Poales; Poaceae
Description: partial small subunit ribosomal RNA
Source: RNAcentral